RNA transcript from Penaeus monodon (black tiger shrimp), 2383 nucleotides. It is a transcript of the gene named NADH-ubiquinone oxidoreductase chain 1-like, with no coding region annotated. Lineage: Eukaryota; Metazoa; Arthropoda; Malacostraca; Decapoda; Penaeidae. The transcript has a single exon. The record is from RefSeq and is a predicted model, not a curated record.
AAAUCUUAUUAAUGCAAUCAUGGUUUUCUAUAUAUUAAGAAGUAAGAAAAUUAUUUUUGAAAUGUAUUUUUUUAGUAGAGUGAAUCGAAAUAUUUUAUAAUAAAUUAUAGAUUAAAGUACUGUAAAGGAAAGAUGAAAUAAUUUGAAAAAUGUAUUAAUAAAAAGUAAAGUUAAAUUCUUGUACCUUGUGUAUUAGGGAAAAUCAAAAUAAUCUUAUUAUUUAAAGAAAUCCCGAAAGAAAAAGAGCUAUUAUAAAUAUAUAGUUUUCGUAUUAAUGAAAUUAUCAAAUUUAUACUAGUAGUGAAAUGCUAAUCGUUUUUUCAUAUCUGGUUAUUGGUGAAUUAAAUUUAAUUUGAUUAUAUUGAGGUAAUCAAAAGCUUUAAUAUAAUAAAGAAUAGGAGGGAAAAGCUUCUUGUUCUAACAUAGGUGUGUUAUGAUAUAAUGAAUAAUUAUUUUAUUGAAUUAGGCUUAAAAACAGCUAUAUUAAUAAAACGUUCUAGUUAAUAUAAUUUUUCUUUAUCAUUUUAAUAAAACUGAAUCUAACUUGUAGUAGCCAAUAUUUAUGUUAAGUAAAAUACCAUAAGUUAUAAUGAUUUUAUUAGUAGAAAUACAUUUGUGUAAAUAGAUAACAUUAAAUAAUGUAUAUAUUUUUAUUUUUUUUAGAUAUAAUUAAGGAACUCGGCAAAUACUACUUUUGCCUGUUUAUCAAAAACAUGUCUAUAUGAUUGUUAUAUAAAGUCUAGCCUGCCCACUGAAUUAUUUUUAAAGGGCCGCGGUAUACUGACCGUGCGAAGGUAGCAUAAUCAUUAGUCUUUUAAUUGAAGGCUUGUAUGAAUGGUUGGACAAAAAGUAAUCUGUCUCAGUUAUAAUAGUUGAACUUAACUUUUAAGUGAAAAGGCUUAAAUACUUUAAGGGGACGAUAAGACCCUAUAAAACUUAACAAUAAUUUGAUUAAAUUAUAAAUUGUUAGUAUAACUUGAUUUUAAUUAAUGUUUGUUGCGUUGGGGCGACGGGAAUAUAAUUAGUAACUGUUCUUAAAUAUUUUAUUAACAAGUAUAAUUGAAGAAUAAUUGAUCCUUUAUUAAAGAUUAAAAGAUUAAGUUACUUUAGGGAUAACAGCGUAAUCUUCUUUGAGAGUCCUCAUCGACAAGAAGGUUUGCGACCUCGAUGUUGAAUUAAGGUAUCCUUAUAAUGCAGCAGUUAUAAAGGAAGGUCUGUUCGACCUUUAAAUCCUUACAUGAUUUGAGUUCAGACCGGCGUGAGCCAGGUCGGUUUCUAUCUCUUAAUUUUAUUAUAACUACUUUAGUACGAAAGGAUUAAGUAGUUAAAAUAAUUUUAUUUAUAUGAUUAAUUUUAAUUUAUUUGUUGCUUUGGCAGAAUUAUGCAUUGGACUUAGGAUCCAAUAAUGUGAGUAAUUAAUCUCACAAGUAAUACUGUGAUAACAUUAAUUAUAGUUAUUAAUUACUUAUUAUUAAUCAUUUGUGUUCUAGUAGGGGUAGCAUUUGUUACUUUACUGGAACGUAAAAUUUUAGGUUAUAUUCAGAUUCGUAAAGGUCCUAAUAAAGUUGGUUUUAUAGGUUUGUUACAACCUUUUGCUGAUGCUGUUAAGUUAUUUACUAAAGAACAAACUUUACCUGUUAUAUCAAACUUUUUACCUUAUUAUUUCUCUCCUGUUUUUAGUUUAUUUGUUUCUUUAAUUGUCUGAUUAGUAAUACCUUAUGAACUGGGGCUAAUAAACUUUACUAUGAGUACUUUAUUUUUUUUAUGUUGUACUAGACUAGGUGUAUACACCACUAUAAGAGCUGGAUGAUCUUCUAAUUCCAAAUAUUCCCUUUUAGGUAGAUUACGAGCAGUAGCUCAAACAAUUUCAUAUGAAGUAAGACUUGCUUUAAUUUUAUUAUCUUUUAUUUUUUUAGUAGGGGGUUUUGAUUUAUGCUUAUUUAGACUGUACCAACGUGAUGUGUGAUUACUCUGAUUUACUUUUCCCCUAUCUUUAAUUUGAUUUGCCUCAUGUUUAGCAGAGACUAAUCGAACCCCUUUUGAUUUCGCUGAGGGAGAAUCUGAACUCGUAUCUGGUUUUAAUACUGAAUAUAGAAGAGGUGGUUUUGCUUUAAUCUUUAUAGCUGAAUAUGCAAGAAUCUUAUUUAUAAGAAUAUUAUUCUCUUUAAUUUUUUUAGGAGGAGAUUUAAUCAGUCCUUUCUAUUACUUAAAACUUGUAAUGGUCGCUUUUGCUUUUGUUUGAGUCCGUGGUACCUUACCACGUUUCCGUUAUGAUAAGCUUAUAUAUUUGGCUUGAAAAAGAUUCUUACCUGUUGCUCUAAAUUAUUUAGUAUUUUUUAUAGGGGUAAAAACUAUUUGUUUCAUUUGUUUAUUAUAAUCUAUU